Molecule: long non-coding RNA, 348 nt
Organism: Oncorhynchus tshawytscha (Chinook salmon)
Lineage: Eukaryota; Metazoa; Chordata; Actinopteri; Salmoniformes; Salmonidae
Source: Ensembl
AACUCAAAGCCAGAAAGAAAACAGGGCAUUGUGAAGGAAUCUACAGCUACUGGAAACUAAAAAUGCCACGGGAUCGAGCAGAGAGGACAACGUGAGAGCGUAGUGUUUAAGAUCCUCAACAGAUACAGAGGCAUGUCAAGAGGUGAAGGAGAUCUCACUGGAGGCCACAGGAGCUUUGUGAAGCCAGUGCGACACAAUCACUGUUAAUCACUGUUGUCAAGCUGGAGAGGUCAAGGACCCGACUCAGCAUCACAGAGCCUGUUAUGGUUUGUGACCCUGUGUUACCCAGCACAGUGAGGGGCAAGAAGCAGGAGUGGACUGGGUCAGGCAGGAGUGGUUCUGAGCCAG